AACGGCCGCGGUAUCCUAACCGUGCAAAGGUAGCAUAAUCACUUGCCUAUUAAUUGUAGGCUAGAAUGAAAGGGUUAACGAAAUAAAGACUGUCUCAAUUAAUUACCUAAAAAUUAUUAUUUACCUGAAGAAAGGUAAAUAAACUCGAAGGACAAGAAGACCCUAUAGAGCUUAAUUUUAUUUAUAGAUUUAUACUAUAAACAAUAUUCGGUUGGGGCGACCCUGGGCUUAAUAAUCACCCAAUAAAUAAAAGAUACCUUAAUCUAAUAAAUGACCCUUUAAAGAUCAAGAGACCAAGCUACCUUAGGGAUAACAGGCUAAUCCCACUCAAGAGUCCUUAUCAACAGUGGGGUUUGGCACCUCGAUGUUGGCUUAGG
Molecule: ribosomal RNA, 377 nt
Filed under: Amynthas hawayanus
Lineage: Eukaryota; Metazoa; Annelida; Clitellata; Crassiclitellata; Megascolecidae
Description: partial 16S ribosomal RNA
Rfam family: Bacterial large subunit ribosomal RNA
Source: RNAcentral